RNAcentral lists this long non-coding RNA (1354 nucleotides) under Apteryx rowi (Okarito brown kiwi). RNAcentral describes it as "lncRNA (ENSARWG00000008368.1)". Lineage: Eukaryota; Metazoa; Chordata; Aves; Apterygiformes; Apterygidae. The record is from RNAcentral.
UUCUUAGUUUAAUCCUUCUAUAAAUCUACAUAACUACUUCAAAUCUUUUUAUACCAAGUUAACUAAAAUUUGUUUUUACAGCUGCUGUGAGUGUAAAUCUGUUUGAGUAUGUUUAUAUAAACUUAACCUAAUUCGAUCACUUGCCAAGAUACUGAUUAGGUUCCCUGUAUCUGAUUUUAAUCACUUAUGUUGCGCUUUUUUCCUUUAGAAGCACUACUGCUUUGGAGACCAUGGCAGGGUUUGCUCAUUUGGAAACUGUUGUAUUUGGUUGCCAAUCGUAAUACUGCUGAUUGUACCCCAAGGAAUAUAAAUUUCCAACCCUUCCCUGCCAUGCCUCAUGUCCCAGAUGUGUGAGUGACUGGUCCCUGGAAAGAUCUGUGCUCCACUUGAGAACAUGGGAAGUAGCUUGACAGGUAAUCNNNNNNNNNNNNNNNNNNNNNNNNNCCCCCCAGCCUUGCUACAGCAUUCGGUGGUCUAAUUCCAUAUUCUCUAUAUUCAGGCUGGUACAAUAUUUGAAAACUUUUGACAUCUUUGUUAUCAUUCAGUAUAGCAAAGAUUUUUCAUAUUUAGAGUGAAAUCAUUUUUCAAAUGGUAAAUUAAAACACUUUUAGAGAUUUGAAAUACUUGCAGUCUUGGAUGCUCUCUAGUUGUAUAUUCUUGCAGUCAGGAGGAGAAAAGAACUGUUCUCCAUUUUAUAGUCCAUAAUUGAGGUUUGGGUUGGGAUUUUAAAGUGUAUGCUAUGGAACUGCCCACUGUCAUAAUUAUUUCUUUGUUUUUAUUUCCCCCUGACUGGAACUGGCACCAUAAUGAUGCCCAUUAGGAUGCCAGGGAACAUGAACAGCAGCUGAUUAUUCUGUCAGGUGAUGAUGUUUUGGCUGCAGGUUUUCACUUGGGGAAAAAUGAAGUACCCUGGCACCCUCAAUGAACUAUGUUUAUGAUUCCUGUAAGGAUGAGGUAACUGCUUGGACAUGUGUUGCUGCUCUUUCUGGUCUUUCCAUGCCCACUAGAUUUAAAAAUGUGGCAGGAGGAAGACUGUAAUGAAGAAGUAUUGAGUAUUGUAUGUACCAGAUGAGGCAGUAAUGUUGCAGAGGCACACAUUUUUUUUUCUUUUUUUUUUUCAUUAAACAUAAUCUAAUGGCAGGGCAGGUUUUCAUGAGGAUACUGUGCCUUUUGGCAGUUGCUCUUGGUUAGGUUAAACUGAAAUUGUGCUCAUAGAGUAUGCUGUGUUAAAUCUGAUGUAGAGGCAGGGGAGUCUUUGUAGCUCUUGUAUCUGUGGAUUAGGUUAAGAAAUCCUAGAGCCCAUUUUCUUGUUUGGGCCAAAUAAGGAAUGAGUGAGCUCAGGGUACUUCUUUCC